CAAUGUUCAUUUCUCACUUUCUCAGCAGCAGCCCGAUUCUCUACCCUCAAAAACAUUCACACUUCACAAUCAGAAGCACAACUCACAAGUAACCAAAACACCCAACCCCCCGUUGCCCUAAAUCCCACCCUAAUAUUCUCAAUCUCAGUCGACAGUCGAACCAGGAAAACAAAAAACCCACAAUUUCUCUUCCGCCGGAGUCGCCGAGUCGGAGUGUCAGACUACCAGAGCCAGGUUUGCUUUCUUCUAAUUUCCCUUUCUUUUUUUUCCAAUUUCUUGAAUGGGUCUUUAUUGAAUCUUUAGUUGACUGAUAUAGUAUUCGAUUUUUUGGAGAAAAUGAUCUAGAUUUCGUGGAGGAUAAAAAUAGUUUCUGGGUUUUGAAUUUUUUUCCCUUUAGGAUUGAAUUAAAGGUUGAUAAACAUGGGGGAGGAGGACUCUCUCGUCUCUCCACUGAAUUUCUGUUGACUUUAAUAAUGAAAGAAUUUUUUUUAAAUUUUUUUUCCUUUCUUUUAUUUUAUUUGCAUACUUUUCCCUUUACUUAUAUGUCGUCAUUAAUCGUCAAUGUUAAGCUUAAUUCUGAUGGGUUUAAUCAUCCUAUAUUCAUGCAUUUCCUUUUUGAAGAUUUUUAAUUGGUACGCAUUCGACAUUUCCAUUUUCUUUUUCUUUGAAACCCUAAAAUUUCACCUAAAUCUUUCAUUAACUGUAUAUGUAUAUAUAUCGAGGAUAUUCAAGCAAACCUCUUUUGAAUUUAUUAUAAGAGAAAAUACGAUUUUCUUCUUUUGCUGACACCCGAAAAUAUAGUUUUUAUUUUUGACCAAGAAGAUUCCCUCACUUUUGAUUCAUUUUCUCUAUGUGAAACAUCUUGGUUAAAGAAUUCAAACAAAACUUUGACUAGUGUAAUUCAUCAUUAUAUGUUUAUAGUUGACCAUCUGAUAAGUAAAAAAUUGAUUAUAAUAUAAGGUGGAUUAAUUUGAUUAGGCCCCUAAAAUAGAAGGACCUUCCAAGUAUAUUUACCUAUCUGUAUCUACUAUUUGAUGAUUAUAUAUGUAUAUGUACGCAAUCUUAUUUUUGUUUGAAUUAUUUCCCUUUGGUCAUAAAAGCAGGCCAUGAGAUCACUGCUGAAGAAUGCACCGGUGUAGACGCAUAGUUUGUUUAUUGUGUAUUUUAGUGAUGGACUCAAGUGUCGACAAUUCCAUGCAUUUGUUAUGCUUUUGGCUGUUUUAAGUUUUAACUUAAGAAAACCACAGAUAUUGGACGUUUCAACAAUACAUAAUAAAGUUUGUUUCUUUCUUUCUUGCAUUAAUUGCAUGCACCACAGCAGUCGAACUUGGUAAAUUUAUGAUAUAAAAAUACUGUAACAG
Molecule: long non-coding RNA, 1361 nt
Filed under: Gossypium barbadense (sea-island cotton)
Lineage: Eukaryota; Viridiplantae; Streptophyta; Magnoliopsida; Malvales; Malvaceae
Description: long non-coding RNA (GBAR_LNC014132)
Source: RNAcentral